Molecule: long non-coding RNA, 2631 nt
Organism: Sebastes umbrosus (honeycomb rockfish)
Lineage: Eukaryota; Metazoa; Chordata; Actinopteri; Perciformes; Sebastidae
Exons: 6
Source: RefSeq, a predicted model, not a curated record
CUCACUCAGACCAAUCGGAGUUCACGAGGAAACUUUGUAAACAACUCUCACGCUGUUUUAAAGCUCUUCUGCUCUAUUUUACUACGAAAAGGUGCGACGCUGCUGCAGCCGAGUGAGCCCAAAGUACCAACACAGGCAGCCAUCCAGAUGUUGAAGUCAAACUCCACUCAGAAAGUAUUUAUGAAGACAAGAGGAAUGAUGCCAUGCAAAGCAGAAAGAAGCAGCACCACACAGCCUGUCUCGGCCAUACAUACAUUAAGACUUCAUGCUUGGGGCAUGCUGCUCUUUCUUGGCGCACCUGAGUGACAUCAUGAACAUGGCUGAAAUGACCAGCGAAUACCUGAGCCCACCUGUUACCAGCGCAAGCUUUUAACGAAUGGCAUCCUACCAAGUGCUCAGGACCAGCCUCAGGAGCUGAUCUCAGGGCCUUCCUUCCUUCCUUCCUUCCUUCCUCCUGACACAGAGGCCUGGGGGAGUCGCAUGGGAGUCAGGAUGGCCGGAUGUGGCCCGAUCAGACGCAGAGACAGACUGACGGACUGACAAGGAACAGACAUCACGCGGACGGGAGGAUGCUGCGGCCGUUACUGUGGACUUUGGGCUCGGUUUUCUUCCCAUCCGGAGCUACAAGGAGAAUGACAUCAUUCCUGUUUUGAUAGGACAACAGGAAGGUGGAGGGAGACGGAGAGCAGCGGGGCGCGUGUGUGGGCGAGAGCGUGAAGGAGUGUGAGGAAAUAAGAGGAUACAGUGAGUGCCAGCUGUGCUCUGCUGCUGCCGUACAGUGCACACUACUUCAGAGAAGUCAACCUCACUGCACUCCGUCCACCCCAUUGAACUGCCAGCUCUGGCAAUCAAUUCUGAGCCUUGUGCUGUCACUGCUGGCCUCUGGACACAGCAGCUGGCUGCAGGAAGACAAGCGCUCUUCCACAGAGUCUGUCCACCGAUCAGCUGCACCCAGCUGUCUAGCAGCAGCCCCCGCUAUUCAGAGCGCUGCUGCUGCUGCCGCUGGUGUCUGUAAGGCGGGGAUUUACAUUUUCUCAGGACAGGCAGCCCGUGGAGAGAGGCCUGCUGGCAGAUCAAAGGCUCCGGCUGUAAAACGAUCUGAAAGAGUCCGGCAUUAGCAUCCAUCAGGGUACCUUGAAAGCUCCCUGGUCAGCCGAGAGGGAAGCUGAGGGCCCCCCAAAGUGAAAGCCCAGUCUGGAGAGGGGUGAUGGAGGGGCGGAGGGAGGGUGGAAUGGGGGGUGGAGAGAGAGAGAGAGAGAGAGAGAGAGAGGUGGAGGGAUGAAUAACAGGCUACUCGGCUAAAGACAUGAAGGAAAUAUUUCCACGAGGGAGGAAAAUUCCCACAACAAGCUGCAUGUUUUUAUUUCUCUUUUGGAUUCAGACCCCCCCCCCACACACACACACACACACACACACACCAUCUCUUCCUUUAGCUCUUCCUCUCUCUUUCUAAUUUCUUUUUACAGCGUUGAGGCUGUAAGGGGAGAACAUCUCCAUCUGUGCAGCUUCUCCACUCAGCUCACCAAACCCAGACUUUUACUACUCCACCCUGCAGUCUACACACAGGGUCAUGACUGGUCUGGGAUGGGAUGUGGAGUGAAGGUGGGAGGGAAGGAUAGAGUGUGGGAGGAAGAGCAACCUUGAUUGGCUUCAUAUAUUGUAUCUCUUUACAUGAGAAUUGAAAGUGGGAGAGAAGUAGGGAUGGCUAGGGUGUGUGUGUGUGUGUGUGUGUGUGUGUGUGUGUGUUUGUGUGUGUGUGUGUGUGUGUGUUCCUUCUAUGCAAUAUGCAUGAUUCACAGUCUUGAAAUGGAUAGGUACCCAACAUGUGUGAUAGGGAUUAAGAUUAGACCUGCAUUCCUGGUGUGUUCCAGUGCCUGCACAUUUGUUUCUUUUUCAAUAACAAAAGUAAGGCAGCAUUCGUCACAUAAAUCAGAAAAAAAAAAUCUGCAUCCUCAGGCUGAUCUUGUGAUGGAAUUCCCUCAAGAAACCAGAUUUAUAGACACGGAGACCUGUGAACACUGAGCUCCUUUUUUCCUGGAAAGACUUUCAGCUAUGUCGUGUUGUGAUAUUUCACUAAAGUCUCUCCAUUAGAAUCCAAACCUUUGCUGACUAUGAGGCUUUUAGCACUGACCUCCUCUCAGCACCUUUACUGUAUCACAAAGUCAAGUUGGGAAUGAUAGAUCUACGAACGGGUCCGAAUUUUAGGGAGGUCGUGGUUCAGUCUGUGUUUCCCACAGCUCUACAGACUGCGGCCAUCACUCAUUGGUCCUGGUCCGGUGUGAGUUAUGGCUCAGCAGGUCUCCUGGAGGACAGUGUGAGAGGAUUUCUUUAGUAACAGUGAAAAUACAGGUGGUACAGGUGGUCUCUACAGGGAUAUACUGGACUGGGUAGAGUUGACCUAAGACUUGCAUUAUGCUCCAUGAGUAUUUUAAAGAAUGUUAUGCAUUAUCCCAGAGAAUUACGUCGGCCCUCAUUAGUAUUAGUUGUGCAAAUUCCUUGUUAACCCUUUGAACUCAAGCAGUAAAAUUGGUCCACUAGUGCCUACAUUGGUAUUUUUGCAGUAUCUUCAAAUGCUUCCUAUCCCUGAAAUGUGUACAACCUAAGCUAAAGUCAAUAAACCAUAAUAAUGGA